This 253-nucleotide ribosomal RNA is filed under the name uncultured bacterium. Its description in RNAcentral is "partial 16S ribosomal RNA". It matches the Rfam family "Bacterial small subunit ribosomal RNA", at positions 524 to 776 of the family's 1533-position model. The record is from RNAcentral.
UACGUAGGCAGCAAGCGUUGUUCGGAGUUACUGGGCGUAAAGAGUGCGUAGGUGGUGCCCUAAGUCUGUUGUGAAAUCUCCCGGCUUAACUGGGAGGGUGCGGUGGAAACUGGGGUGCUUGAGUGUGGGAGAGGUAAGCGGAAUUCCUGGUGUAGCGGUGAAAUGCGUAGAUAUCAGGAGGAACACCGGUGGCGAAGGCGGCAUCCUGGACCGACACUGACGCUGAGGAGCGAAAGCCAGGGGAGCAAACGGG